AGACAUUUGUGGAAGCUUCCAAGAAGACAAAUGGAAUGGAAUAGGAUGUUUACUUUCACGGAUCAGAAAUGAAUCACGUUGCUUUCUUUCAGAGUUGUAGAGUCUUAGGAAAGAAACAACAGAAAGAAAAUGUUUUGUAGAGGAGAGCUGUGAAAAGAACAGACUUCUGAGUGGAGUACCUGGGUCAGGAGAUAUGGAUCGAUUCUGUGAUUGGGCUCCUGAAAAACAAUAAACUUGCCAUGCUUUUGUAUACCUGGAUGCGGUCUCCAAAUGCUCUCUCUAGGCAUUUAUUCUGCUCCAGGGUCUUCAGAAGAACAGGAUACACACCCUGGGAACUCAGCCACCAUACUGUGGGGAAGCCCAGGCCACAUGGAGAGGCCACGUGUAUGUAUUCCAUCUGACAGCUCCAGCUGAGGUCCCAGCUGCCGGCCAUCAUUAACUGCCAGACAGCACCCAAGAGAAACUGUGACUUCAACUGUAGUAGAAAGCUUUGAAGAGAAGAGUGAUGAAGUUCCAUUUCAGAGGGUC
Homo sapiens (human) is the source of this 528-nucleotide long non-coding RNA. RefSeq lists it as uncharacterized. The record is from RefSeq and is a predicted model, not a curated record. The transcript is spliced from 3 exons. Lineage: Eukaryota; Metazoa; Chordata; Mammalia; Primates; Hominidae.